GACGAACGCUGGCGGCGUGCUUAACACAUGCAAGUCGAACGGAAAGGCCCUGCUUUUGUGGGGUGCUCGAGUGGCGAACGGGUGAGUAGCACGUGAGUAACCUGCCCUUGACUUUGGGAUAACUUCAGGAAACUGGGGCUAAUACCGGAUAGGAGCUCCUGCUGCAUGGUGGGGGUUGGAAAGUUUCGGCGGUUGGGGAUGGAUUCGCGGCUUAUCAGCUUGUUGGUGGGGUAGUGGCUUACCAAGGCUUUGACGGGUAGCCGGCCUGAGAGGGUGACCGGCCACAUUGGGACUGAGAUACGGCCCAGACUCCUACGGGAGGCAGCAGUGGGGAAUAUUGCACAAUGGGCGGAAGCCUGAUGCAGCAACGCCGCGUGCGGGAUGACGGCCUUCGGGUUGUAAACCGCUUUCGCCUGUGACGAAGCGUGAGUGACGGUAAUGGGUAAAGAAGCACCGGCUAACUACGUG
RNAcentral lists this ribosomal RNA (468 nucleotides) under uncultured bacterium. RNAcentral's name for it is "partial 16S ribosomal RNA". It matches the Rfam family "Bacterial small subunit ribosomal RNA", at positions 28 to 507 of the family's 1533-position model. The record is from RNAcentral.